UGCACUAAAAUGCACAUAUAUGCACAUGUGU
This 31-nucleotide non-coding RNA is filed under the name Mus musculus (house mouse). The record is from RNAcentral. Lineage: Eukaryota; Metazoa; Chordata; Mammalia; Rodentia; Muridae.